AAAAAAAAAGGAAAAAAAAUAAAAUAAACAAACAAAACCG
This 40-nucleotide small RNA is filed under the name Arabidopsis thaliana (thale cress). RNAcentral's name for it is "ATSL112450". Lineage: Eukaryota; Viridiplantae; Streptophyta; Magnoliopsida; Brassicales; Brassicaceae. The record is from RNAcentral.